GAAAUUUGUUAGCCAUUGUAGAAUAUCUAAAGAGCGAAAUCCAACACAAUAAUUAAUCUUUUUCUGCGGCAUUUUGUGAUAAAGUCAAAGUAGUGUUGGUAAAAAGAACCGAUGCACAUGGGUGUAGCCAGGUAUACCAAGGGCAAGCAGCAGACUGAUGGCAAAACUUUAUUAAAACUUAUUGGCAGAUCCUUGCUUAGAGCUUAUGUAAGUGUGAGGUAAUCCAGCCCAGGUGUGCACAACAAAGGGGGU
Drosophila grimshawi is the source of this 252-nucleotide long non-coding RNA. RefSeq lists it as uncharacterized. Lineage: Eukaryota; Metazoa; Arthropoda; Insecta; Diptera; Drosophilidae. The transcript is spliced from 3 exons. The record is from RefSeq and is a predicted model, not a curated record.